Long non-coding RNA from Triticum aestivum (bread wheat), 1402 nucleotides. RefSeq lists it as uncharacterized. The record is from RefSeq and is a predicted model, not a curated record. NCBI's taxonomy places the organism in Eukaryota, Viridiplantae, Streptophyta, Magnoliopsida, Poales, Poaceae. The transcript is spliced from 6 exons.
GCAUUGCCCACUCCGCUCCACGCGCCCAAUCCCAUCUUCUCCCGUCUCGUUCCACACCAGCCGCCACACAACCCUAGCCCCUUUCCCAUCGAUCCCCACAGCCCCUCCCUCCUUCUCGCUCCUCGCCAUGGCCGAUUCCCACAGCCCCUCCCUCCUGCUCGCUCCUCGCCAUGGCCUCCGCCCUUGGAGCCUCGCCAUGGCCUCCUACUCCCCCUCCACCACCGUACGUGCACACAGACGGCGGUGCCGGAGAAGAGCAGCUCCAGUCAUGGUGGGGUGCAGCUGCGCCGGGGAUGAAGGAGGUCCGCCGCCUGUCUUUGUCUCCUUGCUGCGUCCUUUGUUGCCAAUCCUCCCCUCUCCAUUAGCCCCUAGCAGCGCAACAGUCUGGGACAAGGGGAAGGAGCAGGUCAACCCGACUCCAUCUCUCUGCACGAGGACUAGAGGAGCAGGUGGCGAGGGAAGCCGGCACGGCCAGCGGCGGCGCUGCACAGGGACGUCCGCCUCGGGUUUUCCGUCCUGUCUCCCGAUCCCCUUCCCUUUAAGUGUUUUUCUUUUUCCUCUUGGCCCGAUCUGCUCACAUGUUUGGGGUUUCGUGCUGUAGGGAUAAGAUCUGGUGCGGGAGGUGUGGUAUACUGCAUAGGUGUAUAAUCUUGGCUAUGAUCUAUUCUGGAGAAUGUCGAUGUUAAAGCAUUUGGUUUUGAUGGAUCAUAUUAUUGGUUCUCUGUUCAACUGAAGAUGUCUUCAGAUAGGACUAAGGUGAGUUGAGUUGUGGCUUGGUUGGAGAUGUUGAUGCUGUUUGAGACGCCCGCUGGAUUCACCCUUUUCAAGGUUAUGAACAUGGGCAAGCUCGACAAGGUCCAGGGGUAUAUGGACCACAAAUGAUGUGAUAUACUUGGUUGUUUCAACAUGAGUACGGCUCAGUAGGAAGGUCAACCGUGGGGAGGCGCAACAUAGCGCGGCCUCAGCCAAUUAGAUCUGAGGAUGAAGAGAAGAAGAAUUUAUCUAAAAGGGUGAACAAGAUCAAGGGGGUGAGAGGCGGAUAACAAUACGAGAAGGAGCAUGCCAUCGAGGAAUGCAAGCAGCGGCACUCCUCCGCAAUGGGGUAUGGCUACAGGGGAGGGGACACGGCCAACUGACAGGAAGAAGGAGCAGGUCGUCGAUGUAGCAUAUGGGCCUUUCAGAUGCAUGUGCCUCCAUAUGCGCCAGAAGUUAUUCUUUUCAUGCACAUGCAAAAUAAAAUUUUAAUAGAAACACUGCUAAAAGACCCUCCUUAGCAGGUUUAUAGAUGUCGUAAAAAUAUAUUCUUUUUCAUACAUUAAACUCGAAAUUCUUAGCGUGUGCAUUUCCCAUACAAAUGAGUACUAGAAAAAAUAAAUGUGUUUACAACACGGGAUGGUUUAAA